UUUUACAUGUAUAAAUAUUUUCAAUAAUUUAUUACAUGCAUUUAUUUACAAUUAAUUGUUAACGACUGCAAUUAUGCUAAUAUUCGUCAAGUCUUAAUUACUUAAAUAAAGUAUAAUAAACCAUAUUUUACAGAUAAAAAUAAAACAGACCGAUAACAUAUUGUGUGAAAACUGAAAAUUGUACAUUCCACCAUUCCGGUCAUUCCAGAUGUUACAAUAUCUUUGAGUUUGUACUUAUGGCCAAAAAUAUCGGCCAUUCCAUAUGCAGUAGUAGAAUAUUAUACAUUGGUUAAUGGUUUAGUUGUAUUACAACAUAAAACGGACACGGUUGUGUCGAAACGUGAGAUUUACUUUAUUCCUUCGAAACGUAUAUCGUGCUGAAAGUAUUUGCGAAGUUGGAGAUUCAAAAUGGGUAU
This is a long non-coding RNA of Myzus persicae (green peach aphid), 416 nucleotides long. RefSeq lists it as uncharacterized. Lineage: Eukaryota; Metazoa; Arthropoda; Insecta; Hemiptera; Aphididae. The transcript is spliced from 3 exons. The record is from RefSeq and is a predicted model, not a curated record.